Molecule: unclassified non-coding RNA, 341 nt
Organism: Ochotona princeps (American pika)
Lineage: Eukaryota; Metazoa; Chordata; Mammalia; Lagomorpha; Ochotonidae
Gene: 7SK
Rfam family: 7SK RNA
About the family: 7SK was discovered as an abundant small nuclear RNA in the mid-70s but a possible function has only recently been suggested. Two independent studies have found that 7SK RNA binds the CDK9/cyclin T complex (known as elongation factor P-TEFb). P-TEFb activates transcription by phosphorylating the C-terminal domain of RNA polymerase II.
Source: Ensembl
GGAGGUGAGGGCGAUCUGGCUGCAACAUCUGUCACCCCAUGGAUCGCCAGGGUUGAUUCGGCUGAUCUGGCUGGCUAGGCAGGUGUCCCCUUCCUCCCUCACCACUCCAUGUGCAUCCCUCCCGAAGCUGCGCUCUGGGUGGAAGAAGACGACCAUCCCCGCUAGAGGAGGACCGGUCUUCGGUCAAAGGUAUACAAGUAGCUGUGCUCCCCUGCUAGAACCUCCAAACAAGCUCUUAAGAACAGAAUUCAUGACAUCUGCAUUUGGUGUGGUAGUUAUUAAUGGCAUUUUUUUAAUCUAAAAUCACUUAAAAAGCUAACAAAGGCUGCUCAAUAAAGUUU